UCUUCCGCAAUGGACGAAAGUCUGACGGAGCAACGCCGCGUGAGUGAUGAAGGUUUUCGGAUCGUAAAACUCUGUUGUUAGGGAAGAACAAGUACCGUUCGAAUUGGGCGCCUCCUUGACGGUACCUAACCAGAAAGCCACGGCUAACCAUGUUCCACCAGCCGCGGUAAUACGUAGGUGGCAAGCGUUUUCCGGAAUUAUUGGGCGUAAAGCGCGCGCAGGCGGUUUCUUAAGUCUGAUGUGAAAGCCCCCGGCUCAACCGGGGAGGGUCAUUGGAAACUGGGGAACUUGAGUGCAGAAGAGGAGAGUGGAAUUCCACGUGUAGCGGUGAAAUGCGUAGAGAUGUGGAGGAACACCAGUGGCGAAGGCGACUCUCUGGUCUGUAACUGACGCUGAGGCGCGAAAGCGUGGGGAGCGAACAG
Molecule: ribosomal RNA, 422 nt
Filed under: uncultured bacterium
Lineage: Bacteria
Description: bacterial SSU rRNA
Rfam family: Bacterial small subunit ribosomal RNA
Source: RNAcentral